This 428-nucleotide ribosomal RNA is filed under the name uncultured bacterium. RNAcentral's name for it is "bacterial SSU rRNA". It matches the Rfam family "Bacterial small subunit ribosomal RNA", at positions 354 to 774 of the family's 1533-position model. The record is from RNAcentral.
GUGGGGAAUUUUGGACAAUGGGGGCAACCCUGAUCCAGCCAUCCCGCGUGUGCGAUGAAGGCCUUCGGGUUGUAAAGCACUUUUGGCAGGGAAGAGACGGCGCGGGCUAAUAACCUGUGCUAAUGACGGUACCUGCAGAAUAAGCACCGGCUAACUACGUGCCAGCAGCCGCGGUAAUACGUAGGGUGCAAGCGUUAAUCGGAAUUACUGGGCGUAAAGCGUGCGCAGGCGGUUCGGAAAGGAAGGUGUGAAAUCCCAGGGCUUAACCUUGGAACUGCACUUUUAACUACCGGGCUAGAGUACGUCAGAGGGGGGUAGAAUUCCACGUGUAGCAGUGAAAUGCGUAGAGAUGUGGAGGAAUACCGAUGGCGAAGGCAGCCCCCUGGGAUGAUACUGACGCUUAUGCACGAAAGCGUGGGGAGCAAACA